CUUUAAGUUUAAUUUUCCGUUAUCGAAAAAUCGAACUUUAUUUAAAUAAAGUGUAUUUUUAAAAUACAAAAAACUUAGUGAAUUGAAUCAUCUAAGUAACUAAGGAAUAAAAUCAACCGAGAACGCUGAGAGUAGUGGCGAGCGAAAUUAGCACAAGACUUAAAAUUUUUAAAAGUUUUAUUAGAAUAAAUUAAAAGCCAAAGAAGGAUACUUGAUAAAAGUAGCCCUGUAUAAUAAAACUUAAAAUUUUAAUAUAAGUAAAACGAUACAAGUCAUGUGUUGUUUAAAUAUUGGGGGACCAUCCUCAAAGUCUAAAACUUUUAAUGAUUGAUAGUAAAUUAGUACCGUGAGGGAAAGGUGAAAUAAAUUGAAAAUUGAAAUUUAAUGUUGACAAGCAAUUAAAGCUUUUUAAAGUAAUAAUGUACCUUUUGCAUAAUGGACCAAUAAGUUUAUUUUAGAAGCGAGCUUAAAUUAUAAAACUAUGUAGGCGAAAAAAAAUUAAGUAUUAAAUAAAAUGCGUUUUAGUUUUUAAAAUAAAACCCGAAACUAAGUGAUCUAACCAUGAACAGGUUGAAAUUUAAAUUUCGAUUUAAUGAAGGACCGAACUCGUGUAUGUGGAAAAAUACUGAAAUGAUUUGUGGUUAGGAGUGAAAGGCUAAUCAAACUUAGAGAUAGCUGGUUUUCUGCGAAAUCUAUUUUAGUAGAGCGUUUAAAAUUGCUUUAUUUUGGGGUAGAGCUCUCAAUAAGUUAUGGGGAUGAAAAUCUUACUGACCUUAAGGAAACUUCGAAUACAAAAAAAAGAUUUUAAACAGACAAACUAUGAGUGCUAAGAUUCAUAGUUGAGAGGGAAACAGCCCAGACUAUUAGUUAAGGUCCUAAAAAGCAAUUAAGUGUAAAAAAUGUGAAAAAAUGAUAACAGUCGAUAGGUAGGCUUAGAAGCAGCCAUCCUUUAAAGAAAGCGUAACAGCUCAUUGAUAGAGUUUUUUUGCAUUGUAAAUGUAGAGGGACUUAAAUUGCUUACCGAAACUAUAGAUUUUUAAAAAUAAAAUUUUAUUUUUAAAAAUGGUAGCAGAACGUUCUGUAAAUUAAAGAAAAUUUAUGGUUACAUAAAUUGGAGAAAUCAGAAGCGACAAUAUUGGUAUGAGUAGCGAUUAACAAUGUGAAAAACAUUGUCACCUUAAGUUCUAGGUUUCCAAAAUAAAGGCUAAUCCUAUUUGGAUAUAAUCGGUCUCUAAGAAGAUAACGAAAGUUUAAUUUUAUGAGAAAAAAGAAAAAAUCUUUUUUUAUUUUUUAAGUGACAAAAUAUAAAUAGAAUUUUUAUUUUAUGGAAAAAAAUAAAUGUUUUAUAGUAUUUUCAGGAAAUAGCUUAAAAAAUUUUAAAAACCGUACCUAAUCCGACACAGGUGAACUAGUUUAGUAAAUUAAGGUGUUUGAGAGAAUUAUGUUGAAGGAACUCGGCAAAAUGACUCCGUAACUUCGGAAUAAGGAGUGACUUUUCAAGGGCAACCUUAAAAAGUUGUCACAAAAUCGGGAGCAGCGACUGUUUAAUAAAAACACAGGUUUCUGCUAAUUCGUAAGAAGAUGUAUUGAAACUGACGCCUGCCCAGUGCUGCAAGAUUAAAGGAAAAUGUUUUUAGCUUUUUCCCUAAACCCCAGUAAACGGCGGCUGUAACUCUGACGGUCCUAAGGUAGCAAAAUUCCUUGGCAUUUAAUUGGUGUCCUGCAUGAAUGGCGUAACGACUGCUCCGCUGUCUCCAACAUAAACUCAGUGAAAUUGAAUUUUCCGUGAAGAUGCGGAAUACUUACGGCUAGACGGAAAGACCCCGUGCACCUUUACUAUAAUUAUGUAUUGUACUAAAAAUUUUUGUGUGUAGAAUAAGUGGAAAAGUUGUAUUUUUACUUAAAAGGUAAAAAAGUAUGUUUGCGCUAGCAAGUUAUAUUACCAACGCUAUGUGAAAUACCACUCUCAAAAGUUUUUAGUACUUAUUAUUUUUAGACAGUUUGUAAUUGUUAGUUUGACUGGGGCGGUCGCCUCCUAAAGAGUAACGGAGGCGUACAUAAGGUAAGUUUGAAUUGAAAUACAUCAAUUUGUAUGCGUAAUAGUAAAAUAUUUGCCUGACUGUAAGAUUGACAAAUCAAACAGGGACGAAAGUCGGUUAUAGUGAUCCGGUGAUUCUGAAUGGAAAAGGUCAUCGCUCAACGAAUAAAAGGUACGCCGGGGAUAACAGGCUAAUCACCCCCUAGAGACCCUAUCGACGGGGUGGUUUGGCACCUCGAUGUUGGAUUAUCGCAUCCUGGAGCUGUAACUGGUUCCAAGGGUUUGGCUGUUCGCCAAGAAAGGCGGUACAUGAUCUGAGUUUAGAACGUUGUGAAACAGUUUGGUCCCUAUCUACCGUAAGUGUGAAAAAUUGAAAGGAGUAGACCUUAGUACGAGAGGACCGGGAAAAACGAAUCCAUUGUUUAUCGAUUGUCAGACCAUUAGCAUUGUCGAGUAGCUACAUUCGUAAUAAAUAAUUGCUGAAAGCAUCUAAGCAAGAAAUUAACCUUAAAACUAAUUUUUUAAAAAAUGUAGUAGAUGACUACAUGAAUAGGCUUAAUGUGUUAGAAUUGUAAGAUUUUUAGCAAAUAAGUACUAAAAAAUAAUUUAGAAGAAAUUUUUUAACAUUUUUUGUAUUUUAUAAUAUUUAUUAAAAUUAAUUU
Molecule: ribosomal RNA, 2700 nt
Filed under: Navicula veneta
Lineage: Eukaryota; Bacillariophyta; Bacillariophyceae; Naviculales; Naviculaceae
Description: 23S ribosomal RNA
Rfam family: Bacterial large subunit ribosomal RNA
Source: RNAcentral